UACGGAGGGUGCAAGCGUUAAUCGGAUUUAUUGGGCGUAAAGGGCGCGUAGGCGGGGAGGCAAGUUAGAUGUGAAAUCCCGGGGCUCAACUCCGGACCCGCAUCUAAUACUGCUUUUCUAGAGGAUGGAUGGAGAAAAGGGAAUUCCACGUGUAGCGGUGAAAUGCGUAGAUAUGUGGAAGAACACCAGUGGCGAAGGCGCUUUUCUAAUUCAUUCCUGACGCUGAAGCGUGAAAGCAAGGGGAGCAAACAGG
RNAcentral lists this ribosomal RNA (253 nucleotides) under uncultured bacterium. Its description in RNAcentral is "partial 16S ribosomal RNA". It matches the Rfam family "Bacterial small subunit ribosomal RNA", at positions 524 to 776 of the family's 1533-position model. The record is from RNAcentral.